RNAcentral lists this ribosomal RNA (831 nucleotides) under Oenococcus oeni. RNAcentral describes it as "bacterial SSU rRNA". It matches the Rfam family "Bacterial small subunit ribosomal RNA", at positions 709 to 1533 of the family's 1533-position model. Lineage: Bacteria; Bacillati; Bacillota; Bacilli; Lactobacillales; Lactobacillaceae. The record is from RNAcentral.
CCAGUGGCGAAAGCGGCUUGCUAGAUCGUAACUGACGUUGAGGCUCGAAAGUAUGGGUAGCAAACGGGAUUAGAUACCCCGGUAGUCCAUACCGUAAACGAUGGGUGCUAGUUGUUAAGAGGUUUCCGCCUCCUAGUGACGUAGCAAACGCAUUAAGCACCCCGCCUGAGGAGUACGGCCGCAAGGCUAAAACUUAAAGGAAUUGACGGGGACCUGCACAAGCGGUGGAGCAUGUGGUUUAAUUCGAAGAUACGCGAAAAACCUUACCAGGUCUUGACAUACCAAUGAUCGCUUUUGUAAUGAAAGCUUUUCUUCGGAACAUUGGAUACAGGUGGUGCAUGGUCGUCGUCAGCUCGUGUCGUGAGAUGUUGGGUUAAGUCCCGCAACGAGCGCAACCCUUGUUAUUAGUUGCCAGCAUUUAGUUGGGCACUCUAAUGAGACUGCCGGUGAUAAACCGGAGGAAGGUGGGGACGACGUCAGAUCAUCAUGCCCCUUAUGACCUGGGCAACACACGUGCUACAAUGGGAAGUACAACGAGUCGCAAACCGGCGACGGUAAGCUAAUCUCUUAAAACUUCUCUCAGUUCGGACUGGAGUCUGCAACUCGACUCCACGAAGGCGGAAUCGCUAGUAAUCGCGAAUCAGCAUGUCGCGGUGAAUACGUUCCCGGGUCUUGUACACACCGCCCGUCAAAUCAUGGGAGUCGGAAGUACCCAAAGUCGCUUGGCUAACUUUUAGAGGCCGGUGCCUAAGGUAAAAUCGAUGACUGGGAUUAAGUCGUAACAAGGUAGCCGUAGGAGAACCUGCGGCUGGAUCACCUCCUUUCUAAGGA